AUGAAGAACGUAGCGAAAUGCGAUAAGUAAUGUGAAUUGCAGAAUUCAGUGAAUCAUCGAAUCUUUGAACGCACAUUGCGCCCGCCAGUAUUCUGGCGGGCAUGCCUGUUCGAGCGUCAUUACAACCCUCAGGCCCCCGGGCCUGGCGUUGGGGAUCGGCGGAAGCCCCCUGUGGGCACACGCCGUCCCUCAAAUACAGUGGCGGUCCCGCCGCAGCUUCCAUUGCGUAGUAGCUAACACCUCGCAACUGGAGAGCGGCGCGGCCAUGCCGUAAAACACCCAACUUCUGAAUGUUGACCUCGAAUCAGGUAUGAAUACCCGCUGAACUUAAGCAUAUCAAUAAGCGGAGGA
RNAcentral lists this unclassified non-coding RNA (351 nucleotides) under soil metagenome. RNAcentral describes it as "partial contains 5.8S ribosomal RNA, internal transcribed spacer 2, and large subunit ribosomal RNA". The stretch from base 1 to 119 matches the Rfam family "5.8S ribosomal RNA", at positions 36 to 154 of the family's 154-position model. The record is from RNAcentral.